This 497-nucleotide ribosomal RNA is filed under the name uncultured bacterium. Its description in RNAcentral is "partial 16S ribosomal RNA". It matches the Rfam family "Bacterial small subunit ribosomal RNA", at positions 28 to 507 of the family's 1533-position model. The record is from RNAcentral.
GAUGAACGCUGGCGGCGUGCCUAAUACAUGCAAGUCGAGCGAACGGACGAGAAGCUUGCUUCUCUGAUGUUAGCGGCGGACGGGUGAGUAACACGUGGAUAACCUACCUAUAAGACUGGGAUAACUUCGGGAAACCGGAGCUAAUACCGGAUAAUAUUUUGAACCGCAUGGUUCAAAAGUGAAAGACGGUCUUGCUGUCACUUAUAGAUGGAUCCGCGCUGCAUUAGCUAGUUGGUAAGGUAACGGCUUACCAAGGCAACGAUGCAUAGCCGACCUGAGAGGGUGAUCGGCCACACUGGAACUGAGACACGGUCCAGACUCCUACGGGAGGCAGCAGUAGGGAAUCUUCCGCAAUGGGCGAAAGCCUGACGGAGCAACGCCGCGUGAGUGAUGAAGGUCUUCGGAUCGUAAAACUCUUUUAUUAGGGAAGAACAGAUGUGUAAGUAACUGUGCACAUCUUGACGGUACCUAAUCAAAAAGCCACGGCUAACUACGUG